AAACAAAAGUAAAAGCAAUGAAAAGGAGGUUCUUUCCGAGCAAAUCCGAGAUAAACUAGCAUGGGAAGAGAUUCAGAAUAACUAGCAUGGGGAGAGACGCAGAGAGCUGCUCAUUGUAGACUUGUAGUCCUUGAAAAAUAAAGGGGGAAAAAGGAAGAAAAGUUUAUCCUUGCACAGUGCACUCUCCUCACAUACCCUCUUCGUCCCUCCCUGCCCUCCUCCAUAAAAAGCUUCAAUCUUGGAAUCCUUGUGGGGGGUGCGAAAUGUCCUAAGAAACAGACCCUCCCUUUCCCGUUGUAAUCUCUUCUUUCCCGGAGAACAGAAAGGGGUAGCGAGGGGAUGGAGCGGCGGAAUGAUGGCUGUGACGGUGGAGGCAAGAUCAAGAUUGGUGUCUGCGUCAUGGAGAAGAAGGUGUGGUGUUCCCCCAUGGAGCAGAUUCUUGAGAGGCUGCGGGCGUUCGGGGAGUUCGAGAUUAUAAUUUUUGGUGACAAAAUCAUUCUUGAAGAUCCUAUUGAAAGCUGGCCUCUAUGUGACUGUCUGAUUGCCUUUUACUCGGCUGGGUAUCCACUAGAAAAGGCAGAGAAAUAUGCUGCUUUACGCAGGCCAUUUUUGGUCAAUGAGUUGGAUCCCCAAUACCUCCUCCAUGAUCGCAGCAAAGUAUAUGAGCACCUUAAAUUGUUCGGAGUUCCUGUUCCAACUUAUGCUGUUGUCAGAAGAGAAUACCCUAACCAAGAGUUAAAGUACUUUGUUGAGCAAGAUGAUUUUAUUGAGAUCCAUGGAAAGCGAUUUUACAAGCCUUUUGUGGAGAAACCAAUCGAUGGAGAUGACCAUAACAUAAUGAUAUAUUAUCCUAGCUCCGCUGGUGGAGGAAUGAAAGAACUGUUCCGCAAGGUUGGCAAUCGAUCUAGUGAAUUUUAUCCAGACAUUAGGAAGGUGAGGCGAGAUGGAUCUUACAUUUAUGAAGAAUUCAUGCCAACAGGAGGAACAGAUGUCAAGGUUUAUACAGUUGGGCCAGGAUAUGCACAUGCUGAAGCCCGCAAAUCUCCAGUUGUAGAUGGGGUUGUUAUGAGGAAUUCUGAUGGAAAAGAGGUGCGCUAUCCUGUUUUACUAACCCCUACUGAGAAACAAAUUGCAAGGAAUAUUUGCCAAGCCUUCGGACAAGCGGUGUGUGGUUUUGAUCUUCUAAGGUGUGAUUUGGGGGAGGCAAGGUCUUAUGUAUGUGAUGUCAAUGGCUGGAGUUUUGUGAAAAGCUCACACAAGUACUACGAUGAUGCUGCAUGCAUUCUGAGGAAAAUGUUUCUCGAUGAUAAAGCUCCACAUAUUUCAUCCACCAUUCCUGCUAAUCUUCCAUGGAAAGUCAGUGAGCCAGUCCAACCAUUUGAUGCUGUAAGAGAUCGAGAAAGGGGAACUGUUGGCAUAUCUAGGCAAUCAGAAGAGCUGCGCUGUGUCAUAGCUGUUAUACGCCAUGGGGAUCGCACGCCAAAGCAAAAGGUGAAGCUGAAGGUAACUGAAGAAAAGCUUUUAAAAUUAAUGUUGAAAUACAAUGGAGGAAAGGCCCAUGCAGAGGCAAAACUUAAAAGUGCCUUGCAGCUGCAAGAUCUAUUAGAUGCAACAAGAAUCCUUGUUCCACGUGCUAGGUCUGGCCGUGAAAGUGAUAGUGAUGCUGAAAUUGAGCAUGCAGAGAAGCUACGCCAAGUUAGAGCAGUUCUAGAAGAGGGUGGACAUUUUUCAGGUAUUUAUAGGAAAGUGCAGUUAAAGCCAUCCAAUUGGGUCCAUAUUCCUAAAAGUAACGGCAACGGGAAGGAGGAGUAUCCAAUUGAAGCACUGAUGGUUCUCAAGUACGGUGGAGUUCUAACUCAUGCUGGGAGAAAGCAGGCAGAAGAGUUGGGAAGAUACUUCAGAAAUAAUAUGUAUCCAAGUGAAGGACCAGGAUUGCUUCGUCUGCACAGUACAUAUAGGCAUGAUCUGAAAAUAUACAGUUCAGAUGAAGGUCGUGUCCAGAUGUCUGCAGCAGCUUUUGCGAAAGGUCUUCUUGAUUUGGAGGGGGAGUUAACUCCAAUUCUGGUUUCACUUGUCAGUAAGGACUCUUCUAUGCUUGAUGGACUUCAGGAUGGCUCUAUUGAGAUAGAUGAAGCGAAGGCUCGUUUGCACAAUAUUAUCCUUUCUUCAAAAAUUGCAAAUGGUGAGACUAUGGAGUUCCCAUGGAUGGUUGAUGGAGCUGGAGUGCCUCCAAAUGCUGCUAACCUUCUCACAAAUUUGGCUCAAUUGACCAAGGAAAUAACUGCACAAGUGAAGCUGCUUUCUGACAAUGAAGAUGAAGAGGCUGUGACAGAUAGUGACUCACCAAGUCAUCCUUAUGAUCAAGCAAAGGCACUAGGGAAAACAGCAAUUGAUAUGGACCGCAUUGCUUCUGGAUUGCCUUGUGGCAGCGAGAGCUUCCUUUUGAUGUUUGCCCGUUGGAAGAAACUAGAGAGGGAUCUCUACAACGAAAGAAAAAAACGUUUUGACACUACGCAAAUACCUGAUAUAUAUGACUCUUGCAAGUAUGACCUCCUUCAUAACUCACAUCUCAAACUUAAUGGUUUGAGUGAUCUCUUCAGAGUUUCUCAGUCACUAGCUGAUGGUGUAAUUCCAAAUGAGUAUGGAAUAAAUGCGAAGCAGAAACUCAAAAUUGGUUCAAAGAUUGCACGCCGUUUGUUGGGCAAGAUUCUGAUUGACCUGCAUAACACCAGACGAGAGGUUGCUGCUGCUGGUGGUGAAUCUAAUGCAUGCCAUGAUCCAACAAUAGUGCCUUCUUCAAAACGGAAGGAUAGGGGUUACUAUGGGGAUGUUAAGAAUGAGGGUUUUGAUAGACCUAACUCAAACAAGAAGUCAAUUGAUCUUGAUGAUUCGCACAAAGAAACCAAAUACUGCUUGGAUCCAAAAUAUGCCAAUGUGAUGGAACCUGAACGACGUGUUCGAACAAGGCUCUAUUUUACAUCAGAAUCACAUAUACAUUCUCUAAUGAAUGUACUUCGAUACUGCAAUUUUGAUGAAUCUAUGGAUGGAGAAGAAAGUCUUGUUUGCAAAAAUGCUCUAGAUAAUCUGUUUAAAACAAGGGAACUUGACUACAUGAGUUACAUUGUAUUGCGUAUGUUCGAGAAUACAGAGGUUUCUUUGGAAGACCCAAAAAGGUUUCGCAUAGAAAUGACAUAUAGUCGUGGUGCAGAUAUAAGUUCCUUACAGAGCGAACAUGGAAAAGAUUCAUUGCUACCUGAUGAUCACACUAUGAAAAUUAUGGAGCCAGAAAGAUUGCAGGAAGUUGGAUCAUAUCUCACCUUGGACAAAUUUGAUAAAAUGGUUCGUCCAUUUGCAAUGCCAGCUGAAGAUUUCCCCCCAGCUGCCCCUUCUCAAUCUUUGGCAGUCCGUUUCUGCAAGGAUAAUGGAUUGCAAGGCGCAAGAUUGUGCCAAAAAAUACCACCAAAACAUUCUUCUCCAAUCUUAUACCACAGAGUGAGCCUGAAGGUUUAAGAAAUGUCACAACAUUGUAUGAACCAGCUAAGAGAGGGGAUCAAUGCUGGAACUAUCGUCACUGCACGAGUAUAUAACGCUAAUGAAUUAAAAAUUGACUAGUGCCAAUGGAUACUCCAUUAAUCAGAUAGCGUUAUGAGGCUGUCUGCUUCUGCAAUCAAUCAGAAAUCAUUAGAAGACUGCUUACGUCUGGGAACAAUCAGCUUAACUAGUCAUAUUGACACAAUGCUAUGAAUAAUCAUCAACAAACCAGUCAGAUGUCACUCAAGAUAAGUCAGACAUGGUGAGUGGUAUGCCAAAAAGGAAGACAAAAAAGCUUCAAGAAUAGCAUGUUCAACACGCAGGCCAGCAAGAUAAGUCAGACAUGGUUUGAUAUUUCUGUUAACAAAAGUCUCAGGUAAAUGGUUUACCAAUAGAAUGUUGAUAAAGCACUUGCCUUGAAGAGAGGUUAAUAGUGAGUCUGCAAAAUGCUGCAUGAGUGCCAAGCACUGAAGAUCAUGCAGCUGGAACAAUUUUGUCAGUUCUGAGAAUGUAACCUGAUAGAGCUGUUUUGCAGACAGUGUAAUUGCGUAAAUAAUAGGUUACACGUGUAUCUGGAUAAAAUUUUCCGUAUAUAUACAAGGUGGUCAUAUUAUGUGCCUUUAAAAUUA
Oryza sativa Japonica Group (Japanese rice) is the source of this 4160-nucleotide non-coding RNA. The record is from RefSeq and is a predicted model, not a curated record. NCBI's taxonomy places the organism in Eukaryota, Viridiplantae, Streptophyta, Magnoliopsida, Poales, Poaceae.